UACAGAGGGUGCAAACGUUGCUCGGAAUUAUUGGGCGUAAAGCGCGUGUAGGCGGCUUGUUAAGUCGGUGGUGAAAACCCAUGGCUCAACCAUGGAAGGGCGUCCGAAACUGGCAAGCUAGAGUCCUGACGAGGAUGGCGGAAUUCCCAGUGUAGAGGUGAAAUUCGUAGAUAUUGGGAGGAACACCGGUGGCGAAGGCGGCCAUCUGGGAGGGCACUGACGCUGAGGUGCGAAAGCUAGGGGAGCGAACAGG
Molecule: ribosomal RNA, 253 nt
Filed under: uncultured bacterium
Lineage: Bacteria
Description: partial 16S ribosomal RNA
Rfam family: Bacterial small subunit ribosomal RNA
Source: RNAcentral